GCGUGACGCAGGCGGUCAGCGUGCCGACCUGCAAUGUCGGCGUACGCAGGGAUUGCAGCGCCGGGCGCACCA
Molecule: transfer RNA, 72 nt
Filed under: Rhodovastum atsumiense
Lineage: Bacteria; Pseudomonadati; Pseudomonadota; Alphaproteobacteria; Acetobacterales; Acetobacteraceae
Description: tRNA-Cys
Source: RNAcentral